Molecule: RNA transcript, 1441 nt
Organism: Nasonia vitripennis (jewel wasp)
Lineage: Eukaryota; Metazoa; Arthropoda; Insecta; Hymenoptera; Pteromalidae
Gene: CYP6AS28P
Gene name: cytochrome P450 6AS28 pseudogene
Exons: 6
Source: RefSeq, marked validated
GUAAUGCACACAAGUGGAUUGUUUUUUUAGUCGUACUACGCAAGUAUAGUAAAAUAACAGAUCGGGUGAACAAUUACAUACUAAAAUAAUAUAUGCACCGCGAAUUGGCAUAUUUGUGACAGAAGAAUAAACGUUCCUUUUCUGAAUCAAAAAUACGCUAAUUGCCCCUUGAGGCUUGCUAACGCGCGCCUGUACUUGCUUUUUUCGGUAAUAUCAGUCGGCGUCUCAGUCUGCGAGAAUGAUCAUCAAGAUACGGGAUCAAAGUGCACGCAUCUACUUACCGCAUUGACCGAGUGCUUAUAGAUUGAUGUUUAAGACUUCCAGUAGAUAAAGGCUACACGUUUGUACACAACGGCGUUACUGGGACUUUUCGAAGUAGCGGCCGGUCUGGUAGCCCUCGGCUUGGCCGUCUACUACUACCUAACCUCGAACAUGGACUUCUGGAGCAGCCGCGGUGUCAAAGGUCCGAAGCCAAGGCCAUUGUUCGGGUCAACGCUCGACUUCGCGAUCGGCCGCAUGUCCUUGCUCAGUCCCGUAUUUCACGAUCGAGAGCUGAACGACUUCUUCAUCGGUACCAUCAGCCAGACUAUGGAUUACAGGAAGAAGAAUAACGUCGAGCGCAACGAUUUCAUCGAUCUGCUCAUGGCCAUCAAGGACGAUCCGAGCAAAAAAUGACGGACACUGUGAUUGCCUCCCAGGCUUUCAUAUUUUUCCUCGCGGGCUUCGAGACCUCCUCGUCGACCAUAAGUCACACUUUGUACGAGUUGGCUCAGAAUCAAGCGAUUCAGGAUAAACUCCGCGAAGAAAUCGUCGAAGAACUCAAGAUUCAUAACGGAGAAAUAACGUACGAAAGCGUCAAAGGCAUGAAGUACCUGCACAAAAUUUUCUGCGAAACUUUGAGAAAAUACACACCACUUAGUGUGAUCCAAAGAAACUCGCUAGAACCGUACACGUUCUCGGGAACGAAAGUGACGAUACCAAAAGAUACCGAGCUGUGGAUUCCAAUUUACGCGAUUCAACAUGAUCCGGACAUUUAUCCCUAACCUGAGAAGUACGAUCCCGAAAGAUUCGACGAUGAAAAUAUGAAGCAGAGACAUCCCUCUUUUUAUUUGCCUUUUGGAGAUGGCGCUCGCUUCGGUAAUUACCAGACGAAACUUGGUAUCAUUCAAGUCUUGAAAAAUUACAAGGUCGAGGUCUGCGAUCAAACUCGCAUACCUUAUACGAUCGAUCCGAAACAGUUUUUACUGGCACCAAUCGAUGGCAUCGAAUUAAAGUUUCGGAAAAUCUAGUCCCAAUACUUGUUAUUCGUUAUACUUUAAGAAAAGACAACUUUUAUACCGAAAAUUCAUUGAAGCGAGGGGAGCAUUUUCUUAACUGUAAUUCAUAAUUAUAUAAACGUACAUUUUGUUUUAAUUUACAUAUGCUACAAAUAUUACAAAAA